ACAGAUUUUUGUCAUUAAUUUAUUUUCAUAAGUUGAAAGUACUACUAUAAGCUUGCGGCAUGGUUCUUUGAGUAUUUAAAAAAAAUUGUAUUUAAAUUGGUAGUAGCCGUUUUUACUAAUUUCAAAAUCAUUGAAUUGAGUAAAAAGCUAGAUUUUUUAUACAUAGAUCACAAGAAAUACUAUGUGAUGAUAGUGAAUCAUUUUUAUAGCAGCUGAGAAAAACUGUAAACUGCUUGGAAAACACACAGACUCUAUUUACUGCAAUCUAUUAUCGUUGAUUUAAUUUUGAUUUUUUACAUUGAAUACAAUUUAUAAAAAAACGUAAAACAGCAUUGAAUUCAUUUUUUUAGAAGCAGCUGAGAAGUUAUUUUUAGUUUUUGCCAACCAAUAACACUAAUAACAUGAAAAAUCUACUUAUUGAUGGGAAAUCCGAAAAAUUGAUGAACGAAGACCGCUCACCGCCUGUAUGAAGGACAAGAGGUAAGCUUAAAAAAGCUCUUCUUCCAUUCCUCAUCGGCAUUGUCUUGAAGGCGUACACGCUCGUCCCUCUUAAGUUGAUGGUGAUGACAUUCAUGGCCUUGAUGGCCCUGCUGGUCUCAAAAAUCAGCGUUGCCAUUGCCAGCGUCCUCGCUCUUCAUCAAUACUAUCAGCAUUCCAGCGUACCUUCCAUGCAUGAUUUAGGGUCCGUCGGUGCUUUUUCUGCCCCGUUUUACGCAGUGACUGCAGCAGGGCAGACAGGAGUCGCAAACCAAGUUCCACUCGCACCGACUGGCCAGGAUCAGCAAUAUUCGCCCUCUGCUCCUCAACCAUAUAUUCGAAGGAUACACGUGAAGUACACUUGACUGCAAACGAAAUAAUUUUCCCUUAUGAAAUCAUUUUAUUUAUUUAAAUUAUUACAAAUUUUUUCUGUAAAUAACCUUAAUAAACCUGAG
This is an RNA transcript of Cimex lectularius (bed bug), 932 nucleotides long. RefSeq lists it as uncharacterized. Lineage: Eukaryota; Metazoa; Arthropoda; Insecta; Hemiptera; Cimicidae. The transcript has 3 exons. The record is from RefSeq and is a predicted model, not a curated record.